AGUGAACGCUGGCGGCAUGCCUAACACAUGCAAGUCGAGCGACAGCACGGUGAGCGUUGGCUCUUAGGGUUGGCGAGUGACGGACGAGUAAGACAUGGAUCGAAAACCUCUAAGACUGGGGGAACAACGGGGGGCCACUGCCGCUAAUAGAUAAUAUAUCGAACCGGUUGAAGCAAGAGUUCAUGGAGCUUUUUGCGAUUGUAAUAGCUGAAUCCGGGUCGCAUUAGCUAGUUGGUAAGGUAACGGCCUACCAAGGCAACGAUGCGUAGCCGACCUGAGAGGGUGAUCGGCCACACUGGAACUGAGACACGGUCCAGACUCCUACGGGAGGCAGCAGUAGGGAAUCUUCCGCAAUGGGCGAAAGCCUGACGGAGCAACGCCGCGUGAGUGAUGAAGGUCUUCGGAUCGUAAAACUCUGUUAUUAGGGAAGAACAAAUGUGUAAGUAACUAUGCACGUCUUGACGGUACCUAAUCAGAAAGCCACGGCUAACUACGUG
This 497-nucleotide ribosomal RNA is filed under the name uncultured bacterium. RNAcentral describes it as "partial 16S ribosomal RNA". It matches the Rfam family "Bacterial small subunit ribosomal RNA", at positions 29 to 507 of the family's 1533-position model. The record is from RNAcentral.